RNAcentral lists this ribosomal RNA (253 nucleotides) under uncultured bacterium. Its description in RNAcentral is "partial 16S ribosomal RNA". It matches the Rfam family "Bacterial small subunit ribosomal RNA", at positions 524 to 776 of the family's 1533-position model. The record is from RNAcentral.
UACGUAGGGGGCAAGCGUUGUCCGGAUUUAUUGGGCGUAAAGAGCGUGUAGGCGGCUGGGUAGGUCCGUUGUGAAAACUCGAGGCUCAACCUCGAGACGCCGAUGGAAACCCUCCAGCUAGAGUCCGGAAGAGGAGAGUGGAAUUCCUGGUGUAGCGGUGAAAUGCGCAGAUAUCGGGAGGAACACCAGUGGCGAAGGCGGCACUCUGGGCCGGUACUGACGCUGAGGAGCGAAAGCGUGGGGAGCGAACAGG